CAAUAGCGUAUAUUAAAGUUGUUGCGGUAAAAAAGCUCGUAGUUGGAUUUCUACCGAAGAUAGCCGGUCGGGUCUUCGACCUUGUAUCUGGUUUUGUCUUUGGUAUCCUCAUAGGGAACGUUUCUGCGCUUUAUUGCGUGGUGCGGUAUCUAUGACUUUUACUUUGAGGAAAUUAGAGUGUUCACGGCAGGCAAACGCCUUGAAUAUAUUAGCAUGGAAUAAUAACAUAGGAUCUUCGUCCUAUUUUGUUGGUUUCUAGGGCUAAGAUAAUGAUUAAUAGGGAUAAUGGGGGGCAUCUGUAUCAACGCGUCAGAGGUGGAAUUCUUGGAUUGCGUUGCGACAAACUACUGCGAAAGCAUUUGCCAAGGAUGUUUUCAUUGA
This 381-nucleotide ribosomal RNA is filed under the name uncultured eukaryote. RNAcentral describes it as "partial 18S ribosomal RNA". It matches the Rfam family "Eukaryotic small subunit ribosomal RNA", at positions 592 to 976 of the family's 1831-position model. The record is from RNAcentral.